GAGCGGGGACGUCAACAAUUUUGCUGCCACUGGAGGAGGCAAGGGUCACGGGUAGGUCUCGAAAAAGAAGCGCGCCGCGGCCACCUGCGCGUCGUCGGACCGCACGAUCGCAUAGGGCACGUCGGACGGCACGCGACCGUCCAAGAGGGCGUGUGCGCCCAGCGCGUCCAUGCGCUCGGCGUGCCGCUGCGCCUCGGGUCCCCAGCCGCAGUGGCCGCUGCGCACAUAGUCGGCAAAGAGGCGCGCGUGGUCGUCGGGCUCGUCGCCGGGCUCGUCGAGCGGCCACAGCGCGAUGGCGUCAAUAUCCAAGGCCUGUGCCCACGAGCGGCACUCGAUGCGACGUGCGGCAAACCGCAGGUCCGGACAGUCGGGCGAGCACCAAAAGAGAGCGGCCUUGGCGUGCGCCGUGUGGAGCAUGUGGAGUUGGUCGCCGUUGGCGUAGCGCACCGUGAGGGCGGCCGACGUGUGGCGCCGUGUGCCGCGUGCCUCGGCCGGGCGUGGCGGUCGUUGCGGAUCAUUGUGCGGUCGCGGCGCGGCGACGCAGCGCACGAUAAUCUCCCGGACACGUCCGUCGUCGGGGCGUAGGGUCGUCGACAAUGUGGUACCAUCGCGCGACACAGACUCCCACCGGCGCCCGGCCAUGUCGGUCACGAUGCCCUGCCCGUGGGCGAGACCGCGACGGCAUGCGCCCUUGUACAGCGUGCGGCCGGCGCGGGUGAUGAUGCGGCCGUGUGUCGGGGCCUUGGCGUCGGCGGUGGCCAGUGCGUCGGCUACCGCCGCGGGAUCGGUGACAAAGCGCGUGUUGGAAUCGCCGCGUGCGAGCACAGUCUUUGGUUGCAGGGUCUCGUCGGUGCGUGUCCAUAUCGCCUCGACCCAGCCUACCAGUCGGCCUGCAGUGUCGCGCCUGAUCUCGACCAUAUAGUCGGCGUGGACAGCACCGGGCGGCGACAUGUAGCGCAUGGUUGACUCGCCUGGUGGCGAGGGCAGUGGCAAUGACCCCAAUGACUCUAGGGAUUCCAAUGGUUCCAACGACGGUGAUUCAGGCGUCGACCGAUGGUGAAUCCAGUGGACGAGACAGAGCCAGCGCCAGUCGCGGCCGACAACGUCCAUGUGGGCAAAAGGGAGCGGAGGUGCGCCCGUGUGUGGCGCUCCACCGGUAGGCUCAUCGUAGUGGGCCAACGCGCCAGCGGCAUUACCCCGAUAGAGGGCGGGUGCAUAGAGCCGCUCAAAGACGCCAUGCCACAGGGGCUGGUCGGCGGCGAUCUCGGCGAGGCGGCGGCACGUUGCGCCCACAUGCACCAGAUCAACGGGGUCGAGCCACAGACCGACGGCAACGAGCAGUUCAGCCGGGAGCGAGGCCAGAGUGGGCGGCGGGGGCGCGCGGCCCGUGCGUCGUCUCUGGUAGGGUCGCGUCACAGCGUCCACGGGGUCACCCGUCGGGCGACGCUUGCGCGUUGCUUCUCUCAACACGCCUCGUGGUCCUGUCGUGACUCUGUCCAUUUGAGACCUGACGAUGGUGGCAUUGGCGACGACCGUCGUCGGACCGGUUUGCAUGGCCGUAUGCGUUGUUGUUGUCAAAGGAAAAAAACAAAUAGAAAAAAAUAGGAAAAAAGAGGAC
RNAcentral lists this long non-coding RNA (1618 nucleotides) under Pandoravirus quercus. RNAcentral describes it as "hypothetical ncRNA". The record is from RNAcentral.